RNAcentral lists this ribosomal RNA (148 nucleotides) under uncultured bacterium. RNAcentral describes it as "partial 16S ribosomal RNA". It matches the Rfam family "Bacterial small subunit ribosomal RNA", at positions 1353 to 1500 of the family's 1533-position model. The record is from RNAcentral.
CAUACUGCCGUGAAUACGUUCCCGGGCCUUGUACACACCGCCCGUCACACCAUGAGAGUUGGGAAUACCCGAAGCCUGUGAGCUAACUUAUAGAGGCAGCAGUCGAAGGUAGAAUCCAAUGAUUGGGGUGAAGUCGUAACAAGGUAAC